GACGAACGCUGGCGGCGUGCUUAACACAUGCAAGUCGAACGGUGAAGCGCUUUCCUUUUUGGUUGGUGUGGAUGAGUGGCGAACGGGUGAGUAACACGUGAGUAACCUGCCCCCUUCUUCUGGAUAACCGCAUGAAAGUGUGGCUAAUACGGGAUAUUCUGCGCCUGCUGCAUGGUGGGUGUGGGAAAGAUUGUGCCUUUGGGUGUUUUCGGUGGGGGAUGGGCUCGCGGCCUAUCAGCUUGUUGGUGGGGUGAUGGCUUACCAAGGCGGUGACGGGUAGCCGGCCUGAGAGGGUGGACGGUCACACUGGGACUGAGACACGGCCCAGACUCCUACGGGAGGCAGCAGUGGGGAAUAUUGCACAAUGGGCGCAAGCCUGAUGCAGCGACGCCGCGUGAGGGAUGGAGGCCUUCGGGUUGUGAACCUCUUUCGCCAGUGAAGCAGGCCUGCUCCUUGUGGGUGGGUUGACGGUAGCUGGAUAAGAAGCGCCGGCUAACUACGUG
This 503-nucleotide ribosomal RNA is filed under the name uncultured bacterium. RNAcentral describes it as "partial 16S ribosomal RNA". It matches the Rfam family "Bacterial small subunit ribosomal RNA", at positions 28 to 507 of the family's 1533-position model. The record is from RNAcentral.